Non-coding RNA from Cajanus cajan (pigeon pea), 344 nucleotides. The record is from RefSeq and is a predicted model, not a curated record. NCBI's taxonomy places the organism in Eukaryota, Viridiplantae, Streptophyta, Magnoliopsida, Fabales, Fabaceae.
UGUAAUACAAAUAGUUCAUUGAACCAAUAUUUUGAAUAUUGCUUUGUGAGAAUGAUCUGUUCCAAUCCGCAAGACACCUCCAAGCUUAUAGGCAACAAGGGGCAGUCUAAGACUAAGAGCAGCAAUGGUUCGACCUCUCAAAACGGUGGCCAAAAGAAGACUGUUCAAUCGGGUCUUGCCUAUAAAAAUUCUUGAAAUGCAUUCAAAACAGGUGAUCAUGUGGAAGAAGUGGCCGGAGUUAUAUGUAGGAAGCGCGCAGUGAUUAUUAUAGUCAUUAUUUGUUUAUUUAUGAAUUGUUCGUUUCAUAAGCAUUUGUUGUUUACAACCUUUUUUCUUUUUUUUUU